GUCAAAAUCUGAAGAGGAAUUAAAACCUCCACUUAACCUUCAGCAUCAUCACUCCUCUUCUCAGAACUUGAUCAAGGUGUUAUUCACAGAGUGAAUAAAGGAGCCUUGAAUUUCCACUGAUUUUUACAAGAGAAGAAUGGAGAAUUCCAGAGAUGCUAGCAUACAAAAAAUUGCUCCUGAACAUGGCAGAAGUCACCAGAACAAACUCCCAAGGGAAAAGAGAGGAGUAUCAGAUGAGAGAGACUCUAAGGGGGAUCUCAUUUGAUCUCUUUCUGCCAGAUUCUUUAUACGAAUGGUGCCUAGCAUAUAGUCAAAUUCUGACACAAGGUGUGGCAUCAUACAUUCUCCUCUUGCAAUGAAGUUUUACUUUUUGGGAACAGCUGUGUGGAAUAAGUAAAUUCAUUGAGAUAUAGAAAUCUUCAUAGUGAUGGAGAAAUGUGGUAAGCUAAUUUCUUGAAUACCAGGCAUUGUUCUUCUUUUUUCGGUCUUCUCCGUAUGAAAACUUUGUGGGUUUUUUGUUUGUUUGUUUGUUUUUAAGACAGAGUUUUGCUCUUGUUGCCCAGGCUGGAGUGCAAUGGAGUGAUCUCGGCUCACUGCAACCUCCACCUAUCAACCACCACUGCAACCUCAUCUAUAGUGAUUCCCCUAUCUCAGCCUCCCCAGUAGCUGGGAUUACAGGUACAUGCCAUCACACCCGGCUAAUUUUUGUAUUUUUGGUAGAGACAGGGUUUCACCAUGUUGGCCAGGCUGGUCUCGAACUCCUGACCUCAGGUGAUCCGCCUACCUCAGCCU
RNAcentral lists this long non-coding RNA (792 nucleotides) under Aotus nancymaae (Ma's night monkey). RNAcentral's name for it is "lncRNA (ENSANAG00000038598.1)". Lineage: Eukaryota; Metazoa; Chordata; Mammalia; Primates; Aotidae. The record is from RNAcentral.